AGUAAUAUAAGCUAAAUAAGCUAUUGGGUUCAUACCUCAAAAAUACUACAUUGUUAUUACUA
Molecule: transfer RNA, 62 nt
Filed under: Trichuris mastomysi
Lineage: Eukaryota; Metazoa; Nematoda; Enoplea; Trichinellida; Trichuridae
Description: tRNA-Met
Source: RNAcentral